ACUGAACACAUGCCGCACCUGUUUUACACCCUAGAAAAUACUAAAACACUAUACUGGUUAUGCAAUUUCCACCUUCAGUCGCAUCUAACUAACGAUUCAAAUAUGAGUUUAAAAUACAAUGUCAAACAAUAUCUCUUUACCUCAGCGACUCUUGAAAAAACAAGAUAAGGAACGAAGAAUUUGGGAUUCACCGUCCAGAUAUCCAUCCAUUCCGUUUAUUAUGCUGGAAUCGUGAAACCUAGGCGAUAGAAGACCAAAAAAAAAGAAUUUUAAGGCAACUACAGUUUGCUUCUUUAUUCCUCUUUGAUUUACUCACUAAUGACGAACAUCAAAACCUACUCGCAACCAAUCCAAAAUUAAGGUUCCUCCCCUCUUUUUCGCCAGAAUCCCAGAUUUAAGAAUCAAGAACUGGUUACAAGUUCAGAGGCUUCUUUCUUUCGCUCUAUUAAUCGAAACCCUCGAUCUUGAUAACAGAGGGAAAGGGGAGAAGAAAGGAACCUGAUGAGGACUCGUCGGCUUCUUUGAUCUAAAGCUCAAGCUCUCUGAUUUGCUCCAUCUGAAGCCUCUCACGCUCCAGAAUCCCCUCGACGCUCUCCUCUUCCGUCGCUCUCCCCCUCUUCUACCGCGAGCGCUGUUUCGAAGGUGGAUAUAAGCGCACGUGCCGAGGGAACGGUGCUUUCGCCGCUCCCAGUUUCCUGUUUGGUAUCUCCUGUUUUAUUUUUU
This 723-nucleotide long non-coding RNA is filed under the name Phoenix dactylifera (date palm). RNAcentral describes it as "long non-coding RNA (PDAC_LNC014899)". The record is from RNAcentral. Lineage: Eukaryota; Viridiplantae; Streptophyta; Magnoliopsida; Arecales; Arecaceae.